GAUGAACGCUGGCGGCGUGCUUAACACAUGCAAGUCGAGCGGAGUUUUACUUUCGGGUAAAACUUAGCGGCGGACGGGUGAGUAACGUGUGGGUAACCUGCCUUAUACUGGGGAAUAGCCAUUGGAAACGAUGAUUAAUACCCCAUGUCAUUACAGAGAGGCAUCUCUCUGUAAGAAAAGGAUUUAUUCGGUAUAAGAUGGACCCGCAUCUGAUUAGCUAGUUGGUGAGAUAAUAGCUCACCAAGGCAACGAUCAGUAGCCGACCUGAGAGGGUGAUCGGCCACAUUGGGACUGAGACACGGCCCAAACUCCUACGGGAGGCAGCAGUGGGGAAUAUUGCACAAUGGGCGAAAGCCUGAUGCAGCAACGCCGCGUGAAGGAAGAAGGUUUUUGGAUCGUAAACUUCUAUCAACAGGGACGAAACAAAUGACGGUACCUGAAUAAGAAGCACCGGCUAAAUACGUGCCAGCAGCCGCGGUAAUACGUAUGGUGCAAGCGUUAUCCGGAAUUACUGGGUGUAAAGGGAGCGUAGGCGGUAUGAUAAGCCAGAUGUGAAAGCCCGAAGCUCAACUUCGAGGAUUGCAUUUGGAACUAUCAAACUAGAGUACAGGAGAGGUAAGUGGAAUUCCUAGUGUAGCGGUGAAAUGCGUAGA
This 653-nucleotide ribosomal RNA is filed under the name uncultured bacterium. Its description in RNAcentral is "bacterial SSU rRNA". It matches the Rfam family "Bacterial small subunit ribosomal RNA", at positions 28 to 694 of the family's 1533-position model. The record is from RNAcentral.